This 482-nucleotide ribosomal RNA is filed under the name uncultured bacterium. RNAcentral describes it as "bacterial SSU rRNA". It matches the Rfam family "Bacterial small subunit ribosomal RNA", at positions 30 to 521 of the family's 1533-position model. The record is from RNAcentral.
AUUGAACGCUAGCGGGAGGCUUAACACAUGCAAGUCGAGGGGCAUCACGGGUAGCAAUACCUGGUGGCGACCGGCAGACGGGUGAGUAACGCGUAUGUAACCUACCCUGUACAGGGGGAUAACCCGGAGAAAUUCGGACUAAUAUCCCAUAAUGAUAUCUGGGGGCAUCUUCGGAUAUUUAAAGUUCCGGCGGUACAGGAUGGGCAUGCGUAACAUUAGCUAGUUGGUAAGGUAACGGCUUACCAAGGCUUUGAUGUUUAGGGGUCCUGAGAGGGUGGUCCCCCACACUGGUACUGAGACACGGACCAGACUCCUACGGGAGGCGGCAGUGGGGAAUCUUGCGCAAUGGGGCGAAAAGCCUGACGCAGCAACGCCGCGUGCGGGAUGACGGCCUUCGUGGUUGUAAACCGCUUUCAGCAGGGACGGAAAAAUGACGGUACCUGCAGAAGAAGCCCGGCUAACUACGUGCCAGCAGCCGCGGU